Molecule: ribosomal RNA, 1873 nt
Filed under: activated sludge metagenome
Description: bacterial LSU rRNA
Rfam family: Bacterial large subunit ribosomal RNA
Source: RNAcentral
UCAAGUGACUUAAGGGCAUCUGGUGGAUGCCUUGGCGGUAAGAGGCGAUGAAGGACGUGGUACGCUGCGAUAAGCUAGGGGAAGGUGCGAACAGCCGUUGAUCCCUAGAUCUCCGAAUGGGGAAACCCACCUUCGAUAACUGGAACUUCGAGGCCGGAUGGUUUCGAGGAUCCCUCGGGACGUCCGGUUUCGGAUUUCCGGUUAUCAUGUGAAGGUAUCUAACCCUGAAUACAUAGGGGUUAAGAAGCAAACCCAGGGAACUGAAACAUCUAAGUACCUGGAGGAAAGGAUAUCAACCGAAACUCCGCAAGUAGUGGCGAGCGAACGCGGACUAGGCCAGUGUCUCGGAAAUGACAAGUGGAACCAUCUGGAAAGUUGGGCCGUAGCGGGUGACAGCCCCGUACACGUAAUGCAGAUCCGAGACCUCGAGUAAGGCGGGACACGUGAAAUCCUGUCUGAACAUGGGGGGACCACCCUCCAAGCCUAAGUACUCCUUACCGACCGAUAGCGCACCAGUACCGUGAGGGAAAGGUGAAAAGCACCCCGACAAGGGGAGUGAAAUAGAACCUGAAACCGGAUGCCUACAAACAGUCGGAGCCCGCAAGGGUGACGGCGUACCUUUUGUAUAAUGGGUCUGCGACUUAGUCUGACGAGCAAGCUUAAGGCGAUAGCUGUAGGCGAAGCGAAAGCGAGUCUGAACAGGGCGUUCAGUUCGUCGGACUAGACCCGAAACCAGUCGAUCUAUCCAUGGCCAGGUUGAAAGUAGGGUAACACCUACUGGAGGACCGAACCGGUGCCUGUUGAAAAAGUCUCGGAUGAGCUGUGGAUAGGGGUGAAAGGCCAAUCAAGGCUGGAAAUAGCUGGUUCUCCGCGAAAUCUAUUUAGGUAGAGCCUCGAGUGAAUACCCCAGGGGGUAGAGCACUGGAUGGGCUAGGGGCCCCCACAGGGUUACCAAACCUAACCAAACUCCGAAUACCUGGGAGUACUACUCGGGAGACACACGGCGGGUGCUAACGUCCGUCGUGAAAAGGGAAAAAACCCUGACCGACAGCUAAGGUCCUCAAGUCAUGGCUAAGUGUGAAAGGAUGUGGAAAUCCCAUAACAACCAGGAGGUUGGCUUAGAAGCAGCCAUCCUUUAAAGAAAGCGUAACAGCUCACUGGUCUAAACAAGGGUUUCUGCGCCGAAAAUGUAACGGGGCUAAAGCCAUGCACCGAAGCUUCGGGUGUGCAGCAAUGCACGCGGUAGCGGAGCGUUCCGUAAGCCUGUGAAGGGAUAUCCGUGAGGGGUCCUGGAGGUAUCGGAAGUGCGAAUGCAGACAUGAGUAACGACAGGAGUGUGAGAAACACUCCCGCCGAAAGUCCAAGGGUUCCUGCGUAAAGUUAAUCUGCGCAGGGUUAGCCGGCCCCUAAGGCGAGGGCGAAAGCCGUAGUCGAUGGGAACCACGUUAAUAUUCGUGGGCCAGUGGGUGUGUGACGGAUGCUGUAAGUUGUUCGGCCUUAUCGGAUUGGCCGGGCAGCGAAAGUGUCCCUGGAAAUAGCCCCCACAUAGACCGUACCCGAAACCGACACAGGUGGACUGGUAGAGAAUACCAAGGCGCUUGAGCGAAGUGUGCUGAAGGAACUCGGCAAAUUGCCUGCGUAACUUCGGGAUAAGCAGGCCACCCAUAUGCGCAAGCAUGUGGGUGGGGCACAGACCAGGGGGUGGCGACUGUUUAGCAAAAACACAGGGCUAUGCUAAGUCCAACGACGACGUAUAUGGCCUGACGCCUGCCCGGUGCUGGAAGGUUAAGAGGAGAAGUGCAAGCUUUGAAUCGAAGCCCCAGUAAACGGCGGCCGUAACUAUAACGGUCCUAAGGUAGCGAAAUUCCUUGUC